UGCAAUGCACUCUUUAAAGCCCUAAAUGACGACUAGUGUCAAAAUACAGUUGCUAGAAAUUUUUAAAUUUAGUUAUUUUUCAAACAAGUCAUUUUUGGUGGUAAACCUUGGCAAAGUUGGUGCUUGGUGUCCAGAUUUGAGAAAUCUUCAACAACUUAGUGUUGUUAGACUUAUGGACUGCAAUGCACUCUUUUAACCCCCCAAAUGAGGACUAGUAUCAAAAUAUAGGUGCAAGAAAUUUUU
Molecule: long non-coding RNA, 243 nt
Filed under: Vigna radiata
Lineage: Eukaryota; Viridiplantae; Streptophyta; Magnoliopsida; Fabales; Fabaceae
Description: long non-coding RNA (VRAD_LNC012666)
Source: RNAcentral